GACCUAGUGGUGAAUGGAUCACACCUGCUCUUUCUACGAAGCCGCUGUAUCCAUAGGACAGCAGGAUCUCCCGGUUCGAUUCCGGGCUAGGUCA
Molecule: non-coding RNA, 94 nt
Organism: Mycena latifolia
Lineage: Eukaryota; Fungi; Basidiomycota; Agaricomycetes; Agaricales; Mycenaceae
Source: the annotation of a GenBank genome assembly